UAAUACGGAGGGGGCGAGCGUUAUUCGGAAUCACUGGGUGUAAAGAGGGCGUAGGCGGGUCCGUAAGUCGAUAGUGAAAGCCAUGGGCUCAACUCAUGAAUUGCUCUCGAUACUGCAGAUCUUGAGCGCAGUAGGGGAGAGCGGAACUCCCAGUGCAGCGGUGGAAUGUGUAGAUAUUGGGAGGAACACCGAUGGCGAAGGCGGCUCUCUGGUCUGUCGCUGACGCUCUGGCCCGAAAGCUAGGGGAGCGAAUGGGAUUAGAUACCCCAGUAGUCCUAGCCGUAAACGAUGGGCACUAGGUGUAGGUUCGUAUGAAUCUGUGCCGUAGCUAACGCAUUAAGUGCCCCACCUGGGGAGUACGACCGCAAGGUUG
Molecule: ribosomal RNA, 373 nt
Filed under: uncultured bacterium
Lineage: Bacteria
Description: bacterial SSU rRNA
Rfam family: Bacterial small subunit ribosomal RNA
Source: RNAcentral